UUGCCCUAGUAACGGCGAGUGAAGCGGCAACAGCUCAAAUUUGAAAUCUGGCUUCGGCCCGAGUUGUAAUUUGCAGAGGAAGCUUUAGGCGCGGCACCUUCUGAGUCCCCUGGAACGGGGCGCCAUAGAGGGUGAGAGCCCCGUAUAGUUGGAUGCCUAGCCUGUGUAAAGCUCCUUCGACGAGUCGAGUAGUUUGGGAAUGCUGCUCAAAAUGGGAGGUAAAUUUCUUCUAAAGCUAAAUACCGGCCAGAGACCGAUAGCGCACAAGUAGAGUGAUCGAAAGAUGAAAAGCACUUUGAAAAGAGGGUUAAACAGCACGUGAAAUUGUUGAAAGGGAAGCGCUUGUGACCAGACUUGCGCCAGGCUGAUCAUCCGGUGUUCUCACCGGUGCACUCGGCCCGGCACAGGCCAGCAUCGGUUCUCGCGGGGGGAUAAAGGUCUCGGGAACGUAGCUCCUCCGGGAGUGUUAUAGCCCGGGGCGUAAUGCCCUCGCGGGGACCGAGGUUCGCGCAUCUGCAAGGAUGCUGGCGUAAUGGUCAUCAGCGACCCGUCUUGAAACACGGACCAAGGAGUCAAGGUUUUGCGCGAGUGUUUGGGUGUCAAACCCGCACGCGUAAUGAAAGUGAACGUAGGUGAGAGCUUCGGCGCAUCAUCGACCGAUCCUGAUGUUUUCGGAUGGAUUUGAGUAGGAGCGUUAAGCCUUGGACCCGAAAGAUGGUGAACUAUGCUUGGAUAGGGUGAAGCCAGAGGAAACUCUGGUGGAGGCUCGCAGCGGUUCUGACGUGCAAAUCGAUCGUCAAAUCUGAGCAU
RNAcentral lists this ribosomal RNA (810 nucleotides) under Dichotomopilus funicola. Its description in RNAcentral is "eukaryotic LSU rRNA". It matches the Rfam family "Eukaryotic large subunit ribosomal RNA", at positions 75 to 918 of the family's 3401-position model. Lineage: Eukaryota; Fungi; Ascomycota; Sordariomycetes; Sordariales; Chaetomiaceae. The record is from RNAcentral.